This 389-nucleotide ribosomal RNA is filed under the name uncultured bacterium. Its description in RNAcentral is "partial 16S ribosomal RNA". It matches the Rfam family "Bacterial small subunit ribosomal RNA", at positions 523 to 918 of the family's 1533-position model. The record is from RNAcentral.
AUACGUAGGGGGCGAGCGUUGUCCGGAAUGAUUGGGCGUAAAGGGCGCGUAGGCGGCGCGGUAAGUCUGGAGUGAAAGUCCUGCUUUCAAGGUGGGAAUUGCUUUGGAUACUGCCGCGCUUGAGUGCAGGAGAGGUUAUCGGAAUUCCCGGUGUAGCGGUGAAAUGCGUAGAGAUCGGGAGGAACACCAGCGGCGAAGGCGGUAACCUGGUCUGUUACUGACGCUCAGGCACGAAAGCGUGGGGAGCAAAUAGGAUUAGAUACCCUAGUAGUCCACGCCCUAAACGAUGAUUACUAAAUGUUGGGGAAACUCAGUGUUGCAGCUAACGCAAUAAGUAAUCCGCCUGGGGAGUAUGCACGCAAGUGUGAAACUUAAAGGAAUUGACGGGG